Cyprinus carpio (common carp) is the source of this 1274-nucleotide long non-coding RNA. The record is from Ensembl. Lineage: Eukaryota; Metazoa; Chordata; Actinopteri; Cypriniformes; Cyprinidae.
GAACUACUGUGAAAAAAGUCCUUGUUAAUGCUAAAAAGCUUAUCUAUAAAUGUUGAUAAGGAGACUGAACCAUAUGCUAUACUAUCUGUAUCUUUUGUCACGUACUAGGGAAGAAUAGGACCGGUUGGAAUGCCAGGGUCACCUGGGAGACCAGGACCAGAGGGCACAGCUGGGAAGGAUGGGGAGACGGGCCCUCCAGGACAACCUGGGGAGGAUGUAAGACUUAUGGGAAUCUCAAUGCUCCAUAUGCAUCUUUCCAAAGUGAUUUAAGUUUUAGUAGUGUUAAAUAUAUUGUAUAUUCUGCCUAUAAUUGCAUACAUGUCUCUGUGCGUUUUUUCUGUAGGGCCCAAAAGGUUAUGUGGGAGAGAAGGGCAGGAGCUGGGUGAGUGGGGUCCUCCAGGGCUGCCGGGUAAACAGGGAUUUGGAGGCGGAGGAGGGCAGUCUGGUGUACAGGGAGAGAUUGGCCCUAUUAGACCUGCUGGUUUAUCAGGGCCAACGGUGAGCGGCGAUGGGCCUUUUAACUGGUUAAAAUCUGACUCACUGAAAGCCAGCCGCUUAGUCAUUACAUUGCUUUUACUUCAGGGCUAUGAUGGGUCUGUUGGAGAGGGAAAAGAUGGACCUAAGGUACAGUACUGUAUUUCUCUAUUUGUCAAAGUAAUCUAAUAUAAUGUGCUAUUCCAUAAAAACACAGUUACCUUAUUUAAAUGGCAUCUUUAGGGAGAGAGAGGCCACCCUGGUUUCCAAGGUGCUUCUGGACCACAAGGAGACAAGCUGAUUGAUAAUUGUUCACAAUGUCUUUUUGACAAAAGUCAUACAUUAGAUUUCACAUACAUAAUUUCAAUAAGACAACAUUAUUUGACAUUAAAAGGGUCGGACUGGCCAAAGGGGAUUCGCUGGUUUUAGUAGAUUUGUUUGAUCCUAGCACCCCUAGUGGUAAUUUUAGGAAAAAAGUAUAUCCAUAGAUUCAGUGGGUUUUUUUUAGCAUCAUUGAUAUACUAUUAUAAGUAGAUUAUAUAUUUUUUUAUAUAUAAUUUUUUACAUUUUGUUGUGUUUUUGUCAUUGUUAUUAGGUAUUUUUUAUUAUUAUUUUUGUUUGUUUAAUGUGUCGUUUUUAGUUUUAGUUCAGUAAAUGUACCAUUAUCUAUGACUGCUAAAACCAAUUGACACAUUUGACCAGUAGGUGGCACUGCAAACUGCAAACAACAUGCAAACAUUCAUUCAAUUCUAGGGCCUAUAGACUUGGGAAAAUUAUAAUAAAACUAAAAAAAUACGACA